This 427-nucleotide ribosomal RNA is filed under the name uncultured bacterium. Its description in RNAcentral is "partial 16S ribosomal RNA". It matches the Rfam family "Bacterial small subunit ribosomal RNA", at positions 355 to 774 of the family's 1533-position model. The record is from RNAcentral.
UGGGGAAUAUUGCACAAUGGGCGCAAGCCUGAUGCAGCCAUGCCGCGUGUAUGAAGAAGGCCUUCGGGUUGUAAAGUACUUUCAGCGGGGAGGAAGGCGAUAAGGUUAAUAACCUUGUCGAUUGACGUUACCCGCAGAAGAAGCACCGGCUAACUCCGUGCCAGCAGCCGCGGUAAUACGGAGGGUGCAAGCGUUAAUCGGAAUUACUGGGCGUAAAGCGCACGCAGGCGGUCUGUCAAGUCGGAUGUGAAAUCCCCGUGCUAAACCUGGCAACUGCAUUCGAAACUGGCAGGCUAGAGUCUUGUAGAGGGGGGUAGAAUUCCAGGUGUAGCGGUGAAAUGCGUAGAGAUCUGGAGGAAUACCGGUGGCGAAGGCGGCCCCCUGGACAAAGACUGACGCUCAGGUGCGAAAGCGUGGGGAGCAAACA